This 497-nucleotide ribosomal RNA is filed under the name uncultured bacterium. RNAcentral describes it as "partial 16S ribosomal RNA". It matches the Rfam family "Bacterial small subunit ribosomal RNA", at positions 28 to 507 of the family's 1533-position model. The record is from RNAcentral.
GAUGAACGCUGGCGGCGUGCCUAAUACAUGCAAGUCGAACGAACAGACGAUGAGCUUGCGCCUCUCACGUUAGCGGCGGGCGGGUGAGUAACACGUGUAUAACCUACCUAUCAGACUGAUAACACUUCGAGAAACCGGAGCUAAUCCCAUAUAAUCUCUUGCACCGCAUGGUUCAAUAGUGAGAGACGGUUUUGCUGUCACUAAUAGCUGCAUCUGCGCCGCAUUAGCUAGUUGUUAAGGUCCCGGCUUACCAAGGCAAGGAUGCGUAGCCGAGGGGCGAGGGUGAUCGGCCACAUUGGAACUGAGACACGGACAAGGCGCCUACGGGAGGGAGCAGUAGGGAAUGUUCCGCAAUGGGCGAAAGCUUGACGGAGCAAGGGGGAGCGAGAUGUGAAGGUGUUCGGAUCGGGAAAAUCUGCUACUAGGGAAGAACAAAUGUGUAAGGAACUAUGGAGGUCGUGACGGUACCUAGUCAGAAAGCCACGGCUAACUACGUG